This is a small nucleolar RNA of Chionomys nivalis (European snow vole), 133 nucleotides long. RefSeq annotates it as small nucleolar RNA SNORA70. NCBI's taxonomy places the organism in Eukaryota, Metazoa, Chordata, Mammalia, Rodentia, Cricetidae. The record is from RefSeq and is a predicted model, not a curated record. The transcript has a single exon.
UGGCAACCAAUUAAGUUAACCAGGUUCCUUUACUCUCAGAGCCCUGUUCUGAGGUGGUGAUGAAACCCUCCUCUUUGGUAGUGUGGCAGCCUAUUCCCUAUAUGGACUGCCCGAAGGCAUCUGGGAGACAACA